GACGAACGCUGGCGGCGUGCUUAACACAUGCAGGUCGAACGGAAAGGCCUGCUUUCCCUUGUGGAUUGCGGGUACUCGAGUGGCGAACGGGCGAGUAACACGUGAGUGAUCUGCCCCCAACUUGGGUAUAAGCCUGGGAAACUGGGUCUAAUUCCCGAUAGGACUGCAGGGUGGUGCCUGUGGUGGAAAACGAUUUUCUAGUGGUUGGGGAUGAGCUCGCGGCCUAUCAGCUUGUUGGUGGGGUAAUGGCCUACCAAGGCGGCGACGGGUAGCCGGCCUGAGAGGGUGGACGGCCACAUUGGGACUGAGAUACGGCCCAGACUCCUACGGGAGGCAGCAGUGGGGAAUAUUGCACAAUGGGCGGAAGCCUGAUGCAGCGACGCCGCGUGGGGGAUGACGGCCUUCGGGUUGUAAACUCCUUUCGACCGCGAGGAAGCCACCUGGUUGGAAGGGUGGUGACGGUAGUGGUAGAAGAAGCACCGGCUAACUACGUG
This 494-nucleotide ribosomal RNA is filed under the name uncultured bacterium. RNAcentral describes it as "partial 16S ribosomal RNA". It matches the Rfam family "Bacterial small subunit ribosomal RNA", at positions 28 to 507 of the family's 1533-position model. The record is from RNAcentral.